Long non-coding RNA from Cyprinodon tularosa, 281 nucleotides. RefSeq lists it as uncharacterized. The transcript is spliced from 2 exons. NCBI's taxonomy places the organism in Eukaryota, Metazoa, Chordata, Actinopteri, Cyprinodontiformes, Cyprinodontidae. The record is from RefSeq and is a predicted model, not a curated record.
AUAAGGAUGCGCAUCUGCCAACGAGAUGCAUCUGCCAAAACAAUCUUGCGUGUUUUGCGAAUAUAAAAUUCAUCAAAAAUUAUGGAGCUUCCUCAAGCAAAAAGAAAGGUUUCUGCCGUGUGGGACCACUUUGAUGUCAUUUCGGAAAAUAAGAUGACCUUUGGGAACAUUUUGAUCUCGAAGUGGGGAGGCAGACCAAAAGUGCCACAGCUGAUGCCAUCCUUGAGGUGCAGAGAUACAUGGCAGAGGGCAAUAUUGCGAGGUCCCAGGAUCCUCUUGUA